AUGGUGGCCAGGCCACAGCCACCCGGACGUUUGCGAGCGCCGAAGGUGGGCCUGGAGGCGGGGACCUGGCCCUGCGGGGCCGGUGCGUGCGGGGCCCGGCUGAGCCGCCGGCUCCACCGGCAAGGAACCGGGCUCCCGCCUUCCCUGCCACACCGGGAGUGUGUGAGGGGGGACCCUCGGCCGGCAGGGGGCGCUCUCGGCCACUCCAUCCGCCCGGUCACCGCGGGAUCCCGCUGCUCCAGCCCGCCGGUGCCGCCGUCCCGCCUCCUCCCUCAGCCCAGCUCUGCCUCCGCCUUCGCUCCCCGACCCCUCCCUUCUCCCUCUCAGUCCCGCAGGGAAGCUGGGCUGGGCGAGAGGGUGUCUCCUGGGUCCACCGUGGAAGCCCGAGGCGCGGGUGCGGAGCCAGCCCAGGGCUGCCGGCGUGAGCUGCAGGGCUGGCCUGGUGCUCAUCCUCUGCCCGGGGCGCGGGAAAGGCGAGGGACGCUGUGCUGGAUCUGUGUGCUCAGUGGCCACGCGUCGGCCUCAGGAACGGGAACGAGGCGAGAGACACAGAUGUGGGUGAUUUCCCUGUGGAAGCUGUACCCGAGGCCGUGGGAGUGGAGGGCACUGGGCUGCGAAUGGAGACAGGAUGCCCCGAGGGCCCGGGAGCGGGAGGUGGAGGGGGUCCCAGACGGCAGGGGCUCGGAGUGGGAGGCAGCGGGACUGAGAGAGCCGCGCCAGGGCCGCAGGGGUGCGCAGGGAGCUUCCUGCCCUUUGCACCUCAGGCUCCGGGAGCUGAUUUGUUUCACCUUGGGCAGGUGCAGGAUCUGCGCUUGCAGCCACCUUACUUCGUGGGCUGUACCUGAGGUGACAGGCAGGGUCUUCUCUGAUGAAGUUACCCACACGAGUCACCACGGGAUGACGGUGAGCAGGUGCCACGGAAGGUGUGUAAAAAUCGCUCCAGUGGUGAAUUGGAAACUUGCAGUGCCAGGAAGUGCUUCCACAGGCUUAAUGCAUCUCUGCUCCUUCUUUUUUCAGAAAAAUUCAAAGGUAAGCAGAACUGCUCCUUUUCACCCUCUGUGUGCAGCUCAUCACAGAAGUGCAGCCAUAACUGAGUCACUUGUCAAUCUUUUUCCUCCCAGUUACAGUGUUUAGAUGGGGGAUGCUGAGAGAGAAGCCGGCUUGCUGGGAGGUGCGAGCCCAGAGCACACGCUCCACCUAGACUGUGGGCAGUGCCCCACCAUGAGGAGCUCAGCAGUUUCUUCACGUGGUGUUUUCCACCAUGCAAAAACAUCCAAGAUCUAUUGUUUAUGUAGCUUGUACUUAGGGUCAGGCCCCGGUUCAAUUCCUAACAUUGACAUUUUGUAUUUGUGUGACUAAUACACGUGUUAUUAAGAAAGUUACUACUGUCUUUAAGAUGCAGUUUCCUCAUCUGUGAAAUGGAAUAUUUGUGUAUUCCAUAUGUUAUAUAAUAUUACUGCCUGCUUAACCUUGGCCUAGUGUUUGAAGGACACAAAUCCUGAGUCCAGCACAGAGCAGGUGCUUGAUGAAUACCCCAGACACGGAGGAAGGCAGCAUCUGGAUUCCAAGUUCUUUUCCUGUAUAUACAUUUAUAUCUCUCUGAAUAGGCAUCUGCGCGUGUUUCUUUUAUUAUAGACAGGUUGUCUGAUCUCAAUCCGUUAGAGAUGGGGUAGCCUUAGGGACCCUCUGGUCCCACAUCUCACUGUACAGGGGAUGCAGGAUUUGCCAAGGUCCUACCCAUUAGUGAGUAGCAGAGCCUGGAUGAGUUCCUCGGAUCAGGAGGAGGCGGUGUGCUCCUGUCCUCCUGUGAGAUGAAGCCAUUCUUAAUCCCAGCCUCGGAUCAGGAGGAGGGGCUGUGCUCCUGUUCUCCUGUGAGAUGAAGCUGUGCUCAACCCCGGCCUCGGAUCAGGAGGAGGGGCUGUGCUCCUGUCCUCCUGUGAGAUGAGGCCAUGCUCAAUCCCAGGACAGGUGCAGGCGAUUGCUUUCACCUUCUAACUUUAGAAUCUGGAGAGUCUGCAUAGCUCCUACUUUCGAAGCUGCCUCAGAGAGUCUUUGUUAUUGCAAAAUGCGUGUGGGCAGGCUGGACCAGGCAGUGGAUCUUGUUGUUUUGUUAGGGAGAAAGGAAAACUGAAGUUCCAUCACCUGCCAGUUAGUCUUGGUCUACCUCCAACCCAAACUUGGGCUCAGUGAAGCAGAUUAAUAAAGCAAUGGGGCAUCUCUGGCUGCUGCGAGCACCAUGAAUAUGCAUGCAGUGCAGGCCACCGGCUGGAACGCUUUUCCCACCCUGGAAUUCGCCAGUCACGUUUCUACUCUCUGGGUUUCUUUCUAAGUUGAAAGAUUCUGGAAUUGUGGAGCUGGAAGGGAUAUUAGUGAAGACCAUCUGGUCCAGUGUCCUCAUUUUACAGAUGAGCUAACUGAGGCCAGAGGGGAAGGGCCACUCCAGGGCACACUGCGAAUGGCUCACAAACCCAGGACCAGGCCAGAUCUCGCAGCUCUUGCUCCAGAGGAUGCUUAGUGCCUGCAGUGCUUAGGGCACUCAUUUUUUUUGCUGAAUUUUGUUUAUUGAGACCAUAUGGAAAGCGAGUUGAGGCUGAAGUUACAUGCAUUCAGGACCAAGAGAAAGCAAUUGAUCACAAGAUCCUUCUGUGUUGGGCCACUGAGCAAAUCGUGGGGUCACCCUCUCUCUUAGCAGUACAGGCUAUGUCGAUAUGAUGAUAUCACCUUAGAGCUAAUGAAAUGCAUUCCUGAGAAAUAAAAUGAUCGUUUCUGUUUUCUGCAGAGCAAUUCCAAAUGAGAGAAGCAAUAACACUUUUUAUGACCUAUUCAAAUCACUCUCAUUUCACUAAACAACCUUCACACCUGUGGCAGUUCUUGCUUCCCUCGCAGGGGAACUACCCUGAUGUCGGAGAAAACUAUCCUUGAGUGAGGCCUGACACUGUGCCUGUGAUGAUGUGAGCCAUCUGCAAAAUUCACCGUGGAGGACAGAAUGCCACUUAGGCUAAAGCAGGAGGAAGGGGCCUAUAAUUCUCGUCAUCUUUUGUUUGAAUGCAAACGAAACUACAGCCCAGGAAAUAAAUUCAAUGUACUUUGACAAAACAUGGGUAAUCUUACCAGCAUAGUCUCACGUGGAGAAAGGUGACCACCUAAACUAAGAAUCAACAAAAAUCAAACAAAAUGAAACAUGUUGUUUAGAAAUGCAUUCAUUUGUGAUAAAACUGUUUUUAAAAAGCAAGAACAUGAUAGACACCCAAUUUGGGAUAGUGGCCAUGUUUAGAGGGCUGCAGGGGGGAUGCUGUGUAGGAGAGGCACAGAAAAUUGGUGUUGUUUGUAAAUUCGGGGGUGAGUUAAAAAAGUAGGGAAGAAGGAAGAUACCAAACCAACUUCUGGACAGAACUUCUGACUUUGUAGCAGCCUUGCAGUCUUUAUUAAGCAAGAUGCGUUAUGCCAAUGAUUUCAGAUAAUUUACUAGCAAGAGGAUACUCGAUUCUAUCUUGUUUACGAAUGAAAACUCCAAAAUAAAUGAGGCUCUGUGCCGCGGCACCUCGUUAUUUCUUGUUCUGCAGUGA
Long non-coding RNA from Pan paniscus (pygmy chimpanzee), 3566 nucleotides. Lineage: Eukaryota; Metazoa; Chordata; Mammalia; Primates; Hominidae. The record is from Ensembl.